UCCGUAGCCUCCACACAUUCCCUCUGGCUGCAGGCCCCUGGGAUUUUUCUGUGUGACCCCGUCACAUUGCAUCUGUAUAGAUUGUCAAAGCACCUCAUGACUGUGGAGGAAGAAGUCGGGGACAGAACAUGGAUCUGGAAGGCUCACAGCAUGGAUUUGGUCUCUCCCAAAAAGGAUGCUUGUAGAAAACGAUGAUUCUGAAAUGGUACAAAUCCCUUUCCCAAAAGGCAUCUCAAAGCCAGCCGCUGCUACUG
RNAcentral lists this long non-coding RNA (254 nucleotides) under Homo sapiens (human). RNAcentral's name for it is "HSALNT0020853". Lineage: Eukaryota; Metazoa; Chordata; Mammalia; Primates; Hominidae. The record is from RNAcentral.